UCUUCCGUUACAGAAAUCUCUAUCGUCACCUUUUGAUUCUUCAUCUUCACACAAGAAAUGACUUCUAAUGAUACUGAACCCUGAAUUUCCUUCUCCUCUUCCUCUUAUUCAAUAUUUUUGGGCGUUAGAUAAAAACGCUCAUCUGAACUUUAAAUAUCGGAUCCCUUAUAUAUGAUGCCUCAUCGAAAUCAAAAUCGAUUCCAGUUGAGCAUGUAGGUUUCUUUUUCAUACCUUUCUUAAUCGAAGUGAGACUCUUGGGUUCCAGUAUCAUUUACCUGAUUCAUUCUUCAUAGGAGACGGAAAUGGAUCUGAAACAAUUAGAAUUGAAUUCACGUCUCUGUUCCACUCCAAUUUGGGGUUUAAAGACAGAAGAAUUAUAUCUGAUUUGCGAUGAAAAUGUAAGAUUUUGGAAUGCGUAUUUCCCUAACUAUCGCAAAUCGACACAGAAAAGGCGUAAUCUCUUUCUUUACUCUCAAUCUCUUUUUGGGCUUCGUCUUUUGCAUCUUUCUCAUAGUGGUGCAGUUGUUGAUUUGGAUGGUUCUUAAAAACCAUCAGGAACCUGCGACGUUUUGGAGCAAUAGGUGCAAUUUAAAGCUAAUGUGUUCUCAAUAUGUAAUCACUUCAACAAUUCGACACCAAAAUCACCAGGCCAUUCAGGUGAGAUUGGAUCAGUAAGAGACCCAGACUAUAGUUUCAAAGAUUAUGCUUAUGGGUAUGCAUUUGUUAGCUCAUGGGUAUGUAUUCUAUUGACUAGGUCAUCAAUUCCUUUUUGCCUUGCAGGUUCCUGCUUAGCUUUGGAGUUAAAGAUAAUACCAUCGCCGCAAUAGUGAGGUCCAGAAUUGGUCUAGCACACAACAUCUAAGCUCAUAGGUAGGUCAGAGGUAAAUCUGCCCUGAUCUCCUCCACCUUUUUUUUUGGAUUUUCAUCAACCAGUGUAAAGAUACCUAGCUUCGACACUCCACAAUUUCGAAGAUUAAUUUAAAAGAGGCGGGGAUGUCUGGAUUUUCACAAAUCAUGCUUCAUGUUGUUGAUUUCCAAAUUACUCCCAAUUCCUGAGACAUGAAACAGAAAUUUGCAAGCAACUACCCUGUCACCCGCAUUGACCUAUGUACUCUUCCUGUGCCUCCAGCAUCACACCAAAUCCUUUUGAACCAUUGAAAGAAAGGAAACUCGGACACUGAUGAAGGGCAUGCAACCAAGAAUGCUCGCCGUGACGAAGUGGUCCAACUUGAUGGAAAUCAAGCCAAAUAAUGAGUUCUAGCUUUCCACUUGAUUAUUAGAUCAAUUAACACAUUCUGGGUAUUUAUUUAAUAUUAUCCAUUCUGUUUUAGGUUUACUUUGUUUACUCAUCAUGUUUAUUACCCCAUCCAUUGUGUGCCGGUUCAGAUGACAGUUAUGUUGUGUUAUCAUGUUCUGUUCUGCAACUGUUGGCCAUAUGUUUUUAAUGUUUUUGAAUGACAAUUAUGAACCA
RNA transcript from Papaver somniferum (opium poppy), 1471 nucleotides. RefSeq lists it as uncharacterized. The transcript is spliced from 4 exons. NCBI's taxonomy places the organism in Eukaryota, Viridiplantae, Streptophyta, Magnoliopsida, Ranunculales, Papaveraceae. The record is from RefSeq and is a predicted model, not a curated record.